This 467-nucleotide ribosomal RNA is filed under the name uncultured bacterium. RNAcentral describes it as "partial 16S ribosomal RNA". It matches the Rfam family "Bacterial small subunit ribosomal RNA", at positions 28 to 506 of the family's 1533-position model. The record is from RNAcentral.
GACGAACGCUGGCGGCGUGCUUAACACAUGCCAGUCGAACGGAAAGGCCCUGCUUUUGUGGGGUGCUCGAUUGGCGAACGGGUGAGUAACACGUGAGUAACCUGCCCUUGACUUUGGGAUAACUUCAGGAAACUGGGGCUAAUACCGGAUAGGAGCUCCUGCUGCAUGGUGGGGGUUGGAAAGUUUCGGCGGUUGGGGAUGGACUCGCGGCUUAUCAGCUUGUUGGUGGGGUAGUGGCUUACCAAGGCUUUGACGGGUAGCCGGCCUGAGAGGGUGACCGGCCACAUUGGGACUGAGAUACGGCCCAGACUCCUACGGGAGGCAGCAGUGGGGAAUAUUGCACAAUGGGCGGAAGCCUGAUGCAGCAACGCCGCGUGCGGGAUGACGGCCUUCGGGUUGUAAACCGCUUUCGCCUGUGACGAAGCGUGAGUGACGGUAAUGGGUAAAGAAGCACCGGCUAACUACGU